GACGGACGCUGGCGGCGUGCUUAACACAUGCCAGUCGAACGGAAAGGCCCUGCUUUUGUGGGGUGCUCGAGUGGCGAACGGGUGAGUAACACGUGAGUAACCUGCCCUUGACUUUGGGAUAACUUCAGGAAACUGGGGCUAAUACCGGAUAGGAGCUCCUGCUGCAUGGUGGGGGUUGGAAAGUUUCGGCGGUUGGGGAUGGACUCGCGGCUUAUCAGCUUGUUGGUGGGGUAGUGGCUUACCAAGGCUUUGACUGGUAGCCGGCCUGAGAGGGUGACCGGCGACACGGGAGGGGAGACGGGGUCAUGGGGACUGCGGGAGGCCGCAGUGGCGAAGGGGGGGCAACGGGGGGAAGUAUGACACAGCGGGCGCGAGUGGGUGACGAAGGCCCUCGGGUUGGGAAGCCGGCUUGUGGGUAAAGAAAAGCAUCCGCUUGUGACCAGGCGGGAGUGACGGUAAUGGAAAAAGAAGCACCGGCUAACUACGUG
Molecule: ribosomal RNA, 488 nt
Filed under: uncultured bacterium
Lineage: Bacteria
Description: partial 16S ribosomal RNA
Rfam family: Bacterial small subunit ribosomal RNA
Source: RNAcentral